AUUGAACGCUGGCGGCAGGCCUAACACAUGCAAGUCGAGCGGAUGAAGGGAGCUUGCUCCUGGAUUCAGCGGCGGACGGGUGAGUAAUGCCUAGGGAUCUGCCUGGUAGUGGGGGAUAACGUCCGGAAACGGGCGCUAAUACCGCAUACGUCCUGAGGGAGAAAGUGGGGGAUCUUCGGACCUCACGCUAUCAGAUGAGCCUAGGUCGGAUUAGCUAGUUGGUGGGGUAAAGGCCUACCAAGGCGACGAUCCGUAACUGGUCUGAGAGGAUGAUCAGUCACACUGGAACUGAGACACGGUCCAGACUCCUACGGGAGGCAGCAGUGGGGAAUAUUGGACAAUGGGCGAAAGCCUGAUCCAGCCAUGCCGCGUGUGUGAAGAAGGUCUUCGGAUUGUAAAGCACUUUAAGUUGGGAGGAAGGGCAGUAAGUUAAUACCUUGCUGCUUUGACGUUACCAACAGAAUAAGCACCGGCUAACUUCGUG
RNAcentral lists this ribosomal RNA (484 nucleotides) under uncultured bacterium. Its description in RNAcentral is "partial 16S ribosomal RNA". It matches the Rfam family "Bacterial small subunit ribosomal RNA", at positions 30 to 507 of the family's 1533-position model. The record is from RNAcentral.